GAAAUGCGAUAAGUAAUGUGAAUUGCAGAAUUCAGUGAAUCAUCGAAUCUUUGAACGCACAUUGCGCCCGCCAGCACCCUGGCGGGCAUGCCUGUUCGAGCGUCAUUUCAACCCUCAGAACCCCUUGCGGGAUCUGGCGUUGGGGAUUGGCAUCCAGCCAGCCCCGAAAUCUAGUGGCGGUCCCUCCGCGACCUCCCCUGUGCAGUAGCGAUACCUCGCAGCGGGACAGCGGUCUGACCACGCCGUAAAACCCCCAACUUCUCAAGGUUGACCUCGAAUCAGGUAGGAAUACCCGCUGAACUUAAGC
Molecule: unclassified non-coding RNA, 307 nt
Filed under: plant metagenome
Description: partial contains 5.8S ribosomal RNA, internal transcribed spacer 2, and large subunit ribosomal RNA
Rfam family: 5.8S ribosomal RNA (bases 1-105)
Source: RNAcentral